UCUGAUUUGGAAAUGUGGAGCAGCGCAUGUGAGUUCUCAUAUACUUUUUAGACAUUUUUUUUAAAAGUUAUGUAUCACAAUAUUUAGUGCCUCCAUGCCCCUUCUCCUUUAGUACUAUGUAGUUAAUACUAUUUCCUUUUAGAUUAAGGAACUAUAAAAGUGUACCUGUAUUUUUCAUCCAAAUUUUAUUUCUUUAUUUUAGAAUCCUUCUCUUUUCUUUAUUUUAGAAUACAUUUGUUAGUCAAUCACAAUCAUGCUUAAUUGUUUGUAGUGGUUAAUUAAUCAUCCAAAUUUAUUUUUAAACGAAGUUUACAUUGCUGGUGAUUAAUAUUCAGCCAAGGAUAAAUCUCCAGGUUAGGAUUUUAAAGUAAUGUUUUAUGCUAUAUGUUUUAAAUUAGAGUUAUAAUACAGCAUUUUGAUUCAAUAAUGUAGCAUUUUGCUUCAAUAUUGAGAGGAAGCGCUAAGAGAGCAAUAAGAUAAACCAUUAAAAGGAAAAUCUUAAAAAAUGGUGUUAUAGAUAAAGUUAUCCUGCUUCCUGUAUUGACUGGUUUCAUGUGCUUUGCCCCAUUGAAUAUGUGUUACACUGA
This 587-nucleotide long non-coding RNA is filed under the name Vigna radiata. Its description in RNAcentral is "long non-coding RNA (VRAD_LNC018444)". The record is from RNAcentral. Lineage: Eukaryota; Viridiplantae; Streptophyta; Magnoliopsida; Fabales; Fabaceae.